UAGCUAGUUGGUGAGGUAAAGGCUUACCAAGGCGACGAUCUGUAGCGGGUCUGAGAGGAUGAUCCGCCACACUGGAACUGAGACACGGUCCAGACUCCUACGGGAGGCAGCAGUGGGGAAUUUUGGACAAUGGGGGCAACCCUGAUCCAGCCAUGCCGCGUGAGUGAAGAAGGCCUUCGGGUUGUAAAGCUCUUUCGGCCGGGAAGAAAUCGCAUGGGCCAAUACCCUGUGUGGAUGACGGUACCGGAAUAAGAAGCACCGGCUAACUACGUGCCAGCAGCCGCGGUAAUACGUAGGGUGCGAGCGUUAAUCGGAAUUACUGGGCGUAAAGCGUGCGCAGGCGGUUUUGUAAGACAGGCGUGAAAUCCCCGGGCUUAACCUGGGAACUGCGUUUGUGACUGCAAGGCUAGAGUACGGCAGAGGGGGGUGGAAUUCCACGUGUAGCAGUGAAAUGCGUAGACAUGUGGAGGAACACCAAUGGCGAAGGCAGCCCCCUGGGUCGAUACUGACGCUCAUGCACGAAAGCGUGGGUAGCAAACAGGAUUAGAUACCCUGGUAGUCCACGCCCUAAACUAUGUCAACUAGGUGUUGGGUGGGUAAAACCAUUUAGUACCGUAGCUAACGCGUGAAGUUGACCGCCUGGGGAGUACGGCCGCAAGGUUAAAACUCAAAGGAAUUGACGGGGACCCGCACAAGCGGUGGAUGAUGUGGAUUAAUUCGAUGCAACGCGAAAAACCUUACCUACCCUUGACAUGCCAGGAACUUGCCAGAGAUGGCUUGGUGCCCGAAGGGGAGCCUGGACACAGGUGCUGCAUGGCUGUCGUCAGCUCGUGUCGUGAGAUGUUGGGUUAAGUCCCGCAACGAGCGCAACCCUUGUCGUUAAUUGCCAUCAUUUAGUUGGGCACUUUAACGAGACUGCCGGUGACAAACCGGAGGAAGGUGGGGAUGACGUCAAGUCCUCAUGGCCCUUAUGGGUAGGGCUUCACACGUCAUACAAUGGUCGGUACAAAGGGUUGCCAAGCCGCGAGGCGGAGCCAAUCCCAGAAAGCCGAUCGUAGUCCGGAUUGCAGGCUGCAACUCGCCUGCAUGAAGUCGGAAUCGCUAGUAAUCGUGGAUCAGCAUGUCACGGUGAAUACGUUCCCGGGUCUUGUACACACCGCCCGUCACACCAUGGGAGCGGGUUCCGCCAGAAGUAGGUAGCCUAACCGCAAGGGGGGCGCUUACCACGGCGGGGUUCGUGACUGGGGUGAAGUCGUAACAAGGUAGCCGUAGGGGACCUGCGGCUG
RNAcentral lists this ribosomal RNA (1286 nucleotides) under metagenome. RNAcentral's name for it is "bacterial SSU rRNA". It matches the Rfam family "Bacterial small subunit ribosomal RNA", at positions 242 to 1520 of the family's 1533-position model. The record is from RNAcentral.